This 374-nucleotide RNase P RNA is filed under the name Saccharomyces cerevisiae (brewer's yeast). The stretch from base 50 to 373 matches the Rfam family "Nuclear RNase P". Rfam says of the family: Ribonuclease P (RNase P) is a ubiquitous endoribonuclease, found in archaea, bacteria and eukarya as well as chloroplasts and mitochondria. Lineage: Eukaryota; Fungi; Ascomycota; Saccharomycetes; Saccharomycetales; Saccharomycetaceae. The record is from RNAcentral.
AACAAUGGAAUCCCAACAAUUAUCUCAAAAUUUACCCAUUUCUCAGUUUACAGAAGGAUCCCCACCUAUGGGCGGGUUAUCAGAUAUUAUCAGGUGGGAAAUUCGGUGGAACACAGUGGAGCCUUGUCCUCCGGGUUAAUGUCGCUUUUGGCAUUGAUCCCUGCUCCUGAGAGAAGAAAUACACUGGGGAACCAGUCUUUACCGACCGUUGUUAUCAGAAAUUCACGGAGUUCGGCCUAGGUUGGACUCCGAUGGGAACGGCAACGGUUGUUCCGUUUGACUUGUCGCCCGCUACGGCGUGAGCGUCAAGGUCUGUUGAGUGCAAUCGUAGGACGUCAUUUGUGGCGAACCCGAUACCGAUUACUGCUGCUGUU